RNAcentral lists this long non-coding RNA (298 nucleotides) under Mytilus galloprovincialis (Mediterranean mussel). Lineage: Eukaryota; Metazoa; Mollusca; Bivalvia; Mytilida; Mytilidae. The record is from RNAcentral.
AAAUUUAUUGAGAGAGAGAAAAAGCAGGACAUUGAAUAUAUAUUUCAAGCUGUCAUUUAUAUAUGGUGUGAUUGCCACUGUGACCAACGACUGAAUAAUGUACAGUGUAUGGGUCUGUAUGAUUUAUGAAGAAUGAGCAAGAUUCAUGAUUUUAUUGUACACUCUAAAAGUUUACACUGUUACAAGUGGCAAAACCCAAACAUGAGAGGCACCUCACCUGACAAAAUAGAAUGCAAAGAGCUAUCUGAUUGAUUGAAUGGUGUUUAACGACACUUCCCACACUGUUGUGCGAAUACAC